GUUAGUACAAAACUCCGGUAAGGAAAAAACUCGAACACACGAUCGGAACUCGAAAAGAAAAAAAAGAAAUAGGACAGGCUCCAAGGCGUGUAUCAAGCCACUAUCUUUAAGGUUAUAUUCGCCCCCACUUAUCUUCAGUGUGCAAACGAGUUCCAAGCAAAUUAACCUCGAGGAUACAAUGAAGCCAAUGACUAUUUGCGUUUUGCACUGACAAGAAUAGUCCACUAUGCACUGAGUAAUGUAUAACAAAAACUCAAUUUCUACAAAGGAUUUCUGCAGCAAUACUUUAUAGAAUAAUCUAAUAAUAUUAGAAAAUGAAGGAAGAGAAGAAAUAAUAUUAGAAUUUGUUGAUAUGAUUUCCAAAUGAAAUCCCAUUCCUAUUUAUAGGAAUUUUCAUGUCUCUUCAUAGAGACAUCUUUCAAUAGGUGUCUUUAUGAAUAAAUAAAUAAUAAUUAUUCAUUUAAUUUUGUAACUAUUCAAAUAAUAUUUUUUGAAUAGUUAUAAUUCUUUUUUAAAAAAUCAAAUGAUAUAACUUUUGACCAAUGACCAAAAGUUUUAUCUUUUGAUUAAUUACACCCAUUCAUUUAUAGUUAUUGGGAUACUAUAAAUAUUUGAAAAUAUUCCAACAAUCUCCCCCCAUUUUUAAAAUAUUUAGAUUUUGAUAUUCUUGGAAAUCAAUUUGCAUAAAUAAAGGUGUCUUACGAUUGAACCUUCACUUAGUGAAAACAUGUUAAAGUUAAUCGAAAUUGUAUGGUAGACUAAGCUUUGAACCAACUAUUCCAUUUGAUUAACUGAACACAUCUCACACAAUGAUUUCAACAUCAGUCAAUGCAUAGUAUCUAGGGACACUAUUAUAGCCAUGUGUCUAUGUCCUCUUUUCAUGAGUGCUGUCAGAGCCAAGCCCUUAAGCUCCUAGAAGCGGCCACACUUCCACUCACAUAGGUAGAUCCCAUCAAAAGUGUUCCCGUAAUUAUAACACUCUAACAUAUUUAUGUUAUGGGUCCAUUAAGAGUACAUUACUCAUCCUUCUCUUAUCAUUACGGGUACCUAGCACUUUAAUCUUAGGAUGGAUUUAUUUAUAGUUCUAACAGUCACAUACUAAUGAUGUACUUUGUCUCAUUGAACUCAAGACUUGACGUUAUACCAAGCGUUGAGUCGAGUUUCCAUCAUGGGUGACUCUAAUUAAUAGGCUUGAGUCCCAUCCCUUUUGAGGUCCUUUUUACUGCAUCUCUAGCAAGACUUUUUGUCAAAGGAUCUGCCAAAUUUUCACUUGACCUCACAAAAUUAAUAGUGAUCACUCCAUCAGAGAUUAAUUGUCGGACAUAACUAUGUCUUAAUCCAAUGUGUCUAGACUUUCCAUUAUAUACUUGGCUAUAUGCCUUUGCUAGAGUAGCCUCACUAUCACAACGGAUAGAAAUAGGUGAAAUUGGCUUAAGCCAUAAAGGUACAUCAUAAAGCAAAUUUCUUAACCAUUCUGCUUCUUUAGAUGCAGCGGCUAAUGCAAUAAAUUCUGCUGCCAUGGUGGAAUCAGUAAUACAUGUUUGUUUCUUGGAACCCCAAGAAAUGACUCCUCCACCAAGAAUGAAGAUCCACCCACUAGUAGAUGCAUGAUCUUCUAAACUUGUAAUCCAACUAGCAUCCGAAUACCCUUCUAAAACUGGAGGAUAUCCAUUAUAACACAAUCCAUAGUUAAUAGUUUUCUUUAAGUACCUAAGUACUCUAUUUAAAGCUUGCCAAUGCAAACUACUUGGAUUACUUGUGUAUCUACUCAAUUUUCCAAUAGCAUAUGCAAUAUCUGGUCUUGUACAAGUCAUUAUGUACAUAAGACAACCAAUUAGACUUGCAUAUUUCAAUUGAUCAAUUUUCCUACCAGCAUUAGAUACUAAUUUUAAUUGAGGAUCCAUGGGUGUAGAUGCUGGUAUACAGUUGAAAAGAUCAAACUUUUUAAGCACAUUUUCAAUGUAAUGUGAUUGUGAUAAAGCUAUAGUGCUUUCAUCUCGGGUUAUUUUAAUCCCAAGAAUAACAUCUGCUACACCCAUAUCCUUCAUAGCAAAGUUGUUUGACAAGAAUUUCUUUGUGUUUUCUAUUUGUUCCAAAUCCGUGCCAAAAAUGAGCAUGUCAUCUACAUAUAAGCAAAUUAUAACACUCUUUCCAUUAUCAAAUUUACUAUAUAUGCACUUAUCGGAUUCAUUUAUUUUAUAGCCAUUAGCUAAAACAACCUUGUCAAACUUUUGGUGCCAUUGUUUUGGUGCUUGUUUAAGCCCAUAUAAAGAUUUAACAAGCUUACAUACCUUAUGCUCUUGUCCUGGAACAACAAAUCCUUCCGGUUGCUCCAUGUACACUUCCUCUUCCAAUUCACCAUUUAAAAAUGCAGUUUUAACAUCCAUUUGGUGAACAACCAAAUUAUAUAUAGAGGUAAGUGAUAUUAAUAGUCUAAUUGUAGCAAUUCUUGCUACUGAAGCAUAGGUAUCAAAGUAAUCAAUACAUUGUCUUUGUGUAAAACCUUUUGCUACCAACCUUGCUUUAAAUUUAUCAAUGGUUCCAUCGACCUUCAUUUUCUUUUUGAAGAUCCAUUUACAACCUAUUGGUUUGGAACCUGGUGGAAAAUCAACUAAGAUCCAAGUUUGAUUUCCCAUUAUUGAAUCCAUUUCAUCAUUUAUUGCUUCUUUCCAAAAAGCAGAGUCUUGAGAUUUCACUGCUUCUUCAAAUGUAAUAGGAUCAGAUUCGGUAUUAUAACAAUAAGGUAUCUUAUUGCAUAUACUUUCACCUUUUCCUUCUACAAGAAACAUAAUGAAAUCUGGUCCAAAAUCUUUGACCUUUUUAAUCCUCUUACUUCUUCUUAAUUCUUGACAAGAUUCAUCAUUAUUAUCAAUUUGUUUCAAUGUAAUCUCAUUCUCAUUUGAAGAAUGAAUCAAUUGUUGUGGUUGUAAUUGUCUUGAUAUAGAAUUAAAUCUAUUUUCAUCAAAAAUAGCAUCUCUUGAUUCAAUAACCGUAUUAAUUGAAAUUGAAUCAUUUGGUUCAAUUACUAUGAACCUAUAUACCUUGCUAUUAUGUGCAUAACCUAUAAAUAUGCAUUCAAUUCCUCUUUCACCUAACUUUUUACGUUUAGGUGUUGGAACUUUUAUAAUAGCUCUACAACCCCAAACCUUUAAAUAAUUAAGGUUUGGUUUCCUUUUCUUCCAUUGUUCAUAGGGGGUUAUUUUAGUUUCCUUAUUAGGAACUCUAUUCAAUAUAUGACAAGCUGUUAGAACAGCUUCUCCCAAAAAACCCUGUCCAAGACCUGAAUAUGAUAACAUUGAAUUUACUAUUUCAAUCAAGACUAUAUUUUUCCUUUCAGCUACACCAUUUUGUUGUGGUGUGUAAGGGGCUGAAACUUGAUGGGCAAUUCCAGUGAGUUCAAAAUAACUUGGAUUAUAGUAUUCUCCACCUCUAUCCGAUCUUAAGCACUUGAUAAAUGAUUUACACUGAAGUUCAACUUCAGAUUUAUAAACUUUAAAUUUAUCAAGCGCUUCAUCUUUUGAAUGCAAUAAAUAUACAUAACAAUAUCUAGAACAAUCAUCAAUAAAAGUAACAAAAUAUUUCUUUCCACCUAAUGUAGAUGUAUUAUGCAAGUCACAUAAAUCACUAUGUAUCAAAUCAAGCAAUUCUGUUUUCCUUUUAACCUUAGGGAAAGGAUUUCUGGUAAUUUUAGUCAACAUACAGGUAUUGCAUUUUUCAAUAUUAUUAUUAAAAACAGGAAUUAAAUCUAAUUUAUACAUGUCAUUCAAUUUUCUAUAAUUCAAAUGACCUAAUCUAUAAUGCCACAAACAAAAUGAUUCAACCAUAUAAGCAGAAAUAGUAUUUUUAUUCUUAUUAAUAAUAUUAAGUUUGAACAUGCUUUCAUACAUAUACCCUUUUCCCACAAAAAUUCCUCCCUUAGACAAAAUAAACUUAUCUGCCUCAAAAACAAGUUUGAAACCAAACUUAUUCAACAGACUUCCAGACACUAAAUUUUUCCUAACUUCUGGUACAUAAUAUACAUCAUUUAAGGUUAAAACCUUUCCAGAAGUGAAUUGUAGUUCAACAGACCCUUUGCCUUUAAUUGUUGCGGUGGAAGAAUUUCCCAUGUACAAGACAUUGUCAUUUUCACAUUGUGUGAACUUUGUGAACAUGCUUUUGUCUUUGCACACAUGUUUGGUUGCUCCGGUAUCAAUCCACCAUGUAUUAUCAUCUUGUGCCAUAUUAAUUUCAGAUAUCAUUGCAACGAACUUUUCGUUAUUAUCAGCCUUAGAAGAUGAUUUCUUCUUUAAAAAUCGACAUUCAUUCUUGAAAUGUCCCGACUUUCCACAAUGAUAGCAUGAGCCCUUUUGUUUCUUUUUGAACUUAGGUGCUCUAUCAGUCUGAUUGAACUUUCUCUUGAAUGGUUUAGUAGUCUGUACUUCCUCUGUAACAUGUACUUUGGCAUUUUCAGAAUUUAGGUUCUGAUCUUGUUUUCGAUACUCUUCUUCAAUACGAAGAUGAUUUGCCAAAGCCUCAAGAGAUAUUUCCUCUUUCUUAUGUUUUAGACUUCUUUUAAAGUCUUUCCAAGAUGGAGGAAGUUUGUCUAUUAUGGAGGAUACCACAAUCAUUUCAUCCAUUUUCAUAUCAUAUUGCUUAAAUUGAUUCAGCAUCUUUUCAAUAUCACGAAAUUGUUCCAUAACAGAACGACCAUCAACCAUUUGAUAAUUAUUGAAACGACUAACAAGAAAUUUCUUACUUGUAACAUCUUCGGUCAUGUAUCUUGCCUCCAAUUUGUCCCAUAAUUCUUUAGCGGUGACGUCGUUUUGGUAGGUGUCGAACAAACCAUCAGAUAAACCAUUCAAUAUGUGGCCCAUGCACAUGUAAUCAGCAUUGUCCCAUUUUUGUCUUUCUCGGGUUGCAGCAAUAGAUUCAUUUUCAUUCUCUUCAGGUCUUGGAGUAUCCAAAAUAUAAGCAAUCUUCAAAGUUGAUAACAAAAAGUGCAUCUUUUUCUGCCAUCGUCGAAAAUUGCCACCAUCAAAACGAUCAAGUUUAACAAAGUUGGAAGCCAACUCCCUUAGUGUUCCACUUUCAUGUGUUGUGGUAGUCAUCAUGAAAUAUAACCUUAAAAUUGUUAUUACAAAACUCCGGUAAGGAAAAAACUCGAGCACACGAUCGGAACUCGAAAAGAAAAAAAAGAAAUAGGACAGGCUCCAAGGCGUGUAUCAAGCCACUAUCUUUAAGGUUAUAUUCGCCCCCACUUAUCUUCAGUGUGCAAACGAGUUCCAAGCAAAUUAACCUCGAGGAUACAAUGAAGCCAAUGACUAUUUGCGUUUUGCACUGACGAGAAUAGUCCACUAUGCACUGAGUAAUGUAUAACAAAAACUCAAUUUCUACAAAGGAUUUCUGCAGCAAUACUUUAUAGAAUAAUCUAAUAAUAUUAGAAAAUGAAGGAAGA
Molecule: long non-coding RNA, 5434 nt
Filed under: Gossypium barbadense (sea-island cotton)
Lineage: Eukaryota; Viridiplantae; Streptophyta; Magnoliopsida; Malvales; Malvaceae
Description: long non-coding RNA (GBAR_LNC020767)
Source: RNAcentral